This 68-nucleotide transfer RNA is filed under the name Henricia pachyderma. RNAcentral describes it as "tRNA-Arg". It matches the Rfam family "tRNA". From Rfam's summary of the family: Transfer RNA (tRNA) molecules are approximately 80 nucleotides in length. Their secondary structure includes four short double-helical elements and three loops (D, anti-codon, and T loops). The record is from RNAcentral. Lineage: Eukaryota; Metazoa; Echinodermata; Asteroidea; Spinulosida; Echinasteridae.
AGAAGAUUAGUUUAAUAAAAACUUUUGAUUUCGACUCAAAAAAUUUUGGCUCCAUCCAAGAUCUCCCU